RNAcentral lists this ribosomal RNA (253 nucleotides) under uncultured bacterium. RNAcentral's name for it is "partial 16S ribosomal RNA". It matches the Rfam family "Bacterial small subunit ribosomal RNA", at positions 524 to 776 of the family's 1533-position model. The record is from RNAcentral.
GACGGGGGGGGCAAGUGUUCUUCGGAAUGACUGGGCGUAAAGGGUGCGUAGGCGGGUCUUUAAGUCGGGGGGGAAAUCCUGGAGCUCAACUCCAGAACUGCCUUCGAUACUGGAAGACUUGAGUCCGGGAGAGGUGAGUGGAACUGCGAGUGUAGAGGUGAAAUUCGUAGAUAUUCGCAAGAACACCAGUGGCGAAGGCGGCUCACUGGCCCGGUACUGACGCUGAGGUGCGAAAGCGUGGGGAGCAAACAGG